Molecule: long non-coding RNA, 1498 nt
Organism: Passer domesticus (house sparrow)
Lineage: Eukaryota; Metazoa; Chordata; Aves; Passeriformes; Passeridae
Exons: 2
Source: RefSeq, a predicted model, not a curated record
UGGCAAAUCCUUGCCUAUCUACAAAUUGCCCCCGCCCACUACAUAUGAAGCUAACCAACACCAAGCAAAUACUGUCUUCAUGCUGGGCCAGAGGUCAUCUCAAUCGGAAAACAGGGGCUUCAGAUGGUAUUUCCGUUACACCAGCUAAUUGCAACCAUAUGCUUUUUGUGACAGAAAGGGACGUAUGAUGGAUGACUUGGAGCAUAAACAGCAGAGCCAGGAUGAUGAUAGGAAAGUCAUAACAUGUAUGCAUGCAAUUGGUGAUGAGGAAGAAUUUCACAAUUCAUCACUAGUGCUCACCUUGGCCCACUCAGUGAAGAAAAUCUAGUGAACCAGAUGAAAGCUUUGGCAUAGUUAAUGUGUACAUCAAGGAAAUAUGGCAUUCCAGGAAACAAAAAUUAUGCUUUGUGAAACCCAAACUGAACAUCAUCUUCCGAGUCUUCUGAAUCUGCCCUUUUUGUUCCUACUGUUUCUGAAGAUGCUUCUGGGCUUUGGAGAAAUAAGGACUUCCCAUUUUCCAAACCUUGAACCAACAGGGAAGAUCCACACCAUCAAGGCAGACGGGAUUUGCUCCACACCAGUAGCCUCAUGCACAUGAAGCAAUAUCCACAUUCUUAAUUUUGCCUUUUGCCACCUGUACUCAGCAUGUUGUCACGCAGUCAUUAACUUAGAAAACUAACGUAAGACAAACACAAAACUCUAGAAUAAAUGAGUUGCCAUAAGAAAACAAUUAAAAGUCACCUGUUGUGAACAAAACAUAUUUAAUCUAACAUGGGUAAAGAGACCACCCAGGAUUAGCCAAAGCUUGUGUUUUUCUUCCCCCCUCCUCUCCGCAAGCCCAUUACUUGCAAUACAGGUGCAUUUAUAUGAAUGACUUAUUGUGAAGGGCUGGGAUGAUGAUCUCAUCUCAACAGAUUUGACUGCCUGUAUACUACAUAAGAUGAUAAACGGUGAUUGGUUAACAAACACAUUUUUUAACAAAUUGAAAAGCAGUAGCAGGAGCAGAUAGCAAUGUAUUUGUGUUUUAAAAUAUUUAUUUAUUUUAAAACUAUGUCAUAGAAAUUAAAAUGUGAAACAUGAUUUCUCUAGUCAAUGUGCACAAAAAUAUCUUUAUCCAAGUAGGUAAAACCACCACAUUCUUGUAAUAGAGACUUCAGAAAUUAUCUUAAUCAAAGUAGAUAAUCCCAACACAAUUUUGAGAUAAAGAUUUCAGGAUCAAGCCCCUGAAAACCAAGUCAAUGGCAAAAUUUAGUAUCAGGAUUAGAAACAUUUCAGUAAUAAUUAAUUUUUGGUUGUAGUAAUGAAAAGUGAAAUUAAUUUUGUUGAAAUUUAACCCUUAAACAAAGACCUAUUAUACAGUGGAAGUCUCUAAGGAUAUAUUAGCAGAAAAUUACAAGCUGGUUUCUUUUAUUUUCCCUCCAAAACUCGUGUAUUUUGUGUGUCUUCACACAUGUAUGGUCUUUCACCUGGAAAUAAAAAUUGCUCUGGUCAAAAAUAA